RNAcentral lists this ribosomal RNA (292 nucleotides) under uncultured bacterium. Its description in RNAcentral is "partial 16S ribosomal RNA". It matches the Rfam family "Bacterial small subunit ribosomal RNA", at positions 333 to 642 of the family's 1533-position model. The record is from RNAcentral.
CAUGUCCUACGGGGGGCAGCAGUGGGGAAUAUUGCACAAUGGGGGGAACCCUGAUGCAGCGACGCCGCGUGAGUGAAGAAGUAUUUCGGUAUGUAAAGCUCUCUCAGCAGGGAAGAAGAUGACGGUACCUGACUAAGAAGCCCCGGCUAACUACGUGCCAGCAGCCGCGGUAAUACAUAGGGGGCAAGCGUUAUCCGGAUUUACUGGGUGUAAAGGGAGCGUAGGCGGCUGUGUAAGCCAGAAGUGAAAGCCCGAGGCUCAACCACGGGACUGCUUUUGGAACUACAUGGCU